AGCUCCAAUAGCGUAUAUUAAAGUUGUUGCGGUUAAAAAGCUCGUAGUUGGAUUUCUGUCGGUGAGUAGCGGUCCGCCCUCAGCGGUUGGUACUUGCUACGCCCCCGGCAUCUUCCUGGGGACUGUAUCUGCUCUUCGCUGAGUGGUGCAUAAUCCUGGACUUUUACUUUGAAGAAAUGAGAGUGUUUCAAGCAGGCAUGCGCCCUGAAUACGUUAGCAUGGAAUAAUAGCAUCGGACCUCGUUCCAACGCUGUUGGUUUCUUGGACCGAGGUAAAGGUGAAUAGGGAUUGUUGGGGGCAUUCGUAUUUAACUGUCAGAGGUGAAAUUCUUGGAUUUGUUGAAGACGGACUACUGCGAAAGCAUUUGCCAAAGAUGUUCUCA
RNAcentral lists this ribosomal RNA (382 nucleotides) under uncultured eukaryote. Its description in RNAcentral is "SSU rRNA". It matches the Rfam family "Eukaryotic small subunit ribosomal RNA", at positions 587 to 972 of the family's 1831-position model. The record is from RNAcentral.